CCAAGUUCCUUGGGGGCUGGACUAUAUUUAGGAUCAAGAAUCUCGCCUCGGAAAGCACAGCCAGCCUGAGGAGAAGGAAAAGCUGCCGCCUACCGUCAAACUUCUUGUGCCUGGACACGAACGUGGUGCGCACGAACUGGCUCGUCUCCUCCACCAG
Molecule: long non-coding RNA, 157 nt
Organism: Capra hircus (goat)
Lineage: Eukaryota; Metazoa; Chordata; Mammalia; Artiodactyla; Bovidae
Exons: 2
Source: RefSeq, a predicted model, not a curated record